Molecule: ribosomal RNA, 403 nt
Filed under: Dehalococcoidia bacterium
Lineage: Bacteria; Bacillati; Chloroflexota; Dehalococcoidia
Description: bacterial LSU rRNA
Rfam family: Bacterial large subunit ribosomal RNA
Source: RNAcentral
GGUCAAGCAGGUGAAGGCAUACGGUGGAUGCCUUGGCAUCAAGGGCCGAAGAAGGGCGCGGCAAGGCUGCGAAAAGCCUCGGUGAGCUGUCUAGCAAGCUUAGCCGGGGGUUCCCGAAUGGGGCAACCCGCUCAGGUAAAACCUGAGCACCCCCAGCUGAACACAUAGGCUGGGAGGAGGUAAGCGGGGGAAGUGAAACAUCUCAGUACCCCGAGGAAAGGAAAUUAUUCCCUGAGUAGUGGCGAACGAAAGGGGAAUAGCCCAAACCAAGGUAGCUAAGUGGGCUUGGAUCCUAAGCUAUUUUGGUGUUGCAAGACACAAGGGGCAGAUUCCAAGGUCUGCCGCAGAGUUACAAAACUUUUUCUUAGUCGAAUGCUUCUGGAAAGAGCGACCGUAGAAGGUG